This is a long non-coding RNA of Strigops habroptila (Kakapo), 933 nucleotides long. RefSeq lists it as uncharacterized. The record is from RefSeq and is a predicted model, not a curated record. Lineage: Eukaryota; Metazoa; Chordata; Aves; Psittaciformes; Psittacidae. The transcript has 2 exons.
AUGUCUGCUAAUUUGAGGGUGCCACUGAGAACGCUACUGCCUGGCACGAUGCUUAGCGUCUGUAUGUGAAUUCCUCUUAGUGAAGUAGACCGGCAGUGCCUGAUCCUGGGGAAUCCUUGGGGAUCUUGUGCUGUUCCCUUUCCUAAUAGGUGGGGGUCUUAGGGCCAGGGCCUGCUUAUUGGAGAUGGGGUUUGUGGUUAUUGAUCAUCUUCCUCUUCUCAAAGAAGAGCAUUAUGGAAGAGGACAGGUCUUGGGAAUAAUCUAAACAUGAUCACUCACCUUCUCAGGGAGCGUGUUCCACAUCUGGAUCAGCUUAUUAAGGAUAUUUACUAAUGAAGGCCUAGUGUGGUGACACAGCAGCCAAUUAUUUUUUGUACUGAGUUUCUGCUUGUUUAGUGACAGCAGGACCUUUUAAAACUUCAGGCCUGACAACUUUGUGUUAAAUCUGUUAUUUCAGUUCAGCCUUUAACAGCAUGUCUAAACCCCAACCUGAAUCCCCAAAUAUAAUCACAUUACAGACCAAUUAUUUUGCUCACUGAGUCACUUUGUCAGUUUGGCAGCAUGCCUGGCAGAAAAUUUCGAUUCCUUUCAAUUCUUUGAUUAAAGAAAUUAAUUCAGAGUUUUAUUUUGUUUGGAGAUAUCAAGGUCUGACUCUCCCACUGACUCAUAGUCCCCACUCAUAGUCACUGGUGUGGAGAUACCUCUUUUGUGGUGAGGUAAUGAGCAGUCAUGCUUCUGGGCAAAAUCCUUCUUACUGCCAUGCUGGGGUGCAGAUCCCGGGUCUCCCUGUGUUUGAAGACCUACUCCCACCUUAUCGCUUGUACUGGCCAAAGUUGACUGUAUUUCUCUCUAGCAGCCAUGAAUGGCCAAUGACAGAAGUUGUCAUAAAGAGGGGUUUGAUUCUUAUGAAGGAUGUCUUCCUGAUGGCCUGUU